RNAcentral lists this long non-coding RNA (1303 nucleotides) under Lonchura striata (white-rumped munia). RNAcentral describes it as "domestica (Bengalese finch) lncRNA (ENSLSDG00000000873.1)". The record is from RNAcentral. Lineage: Eukaryota; Metazoa; Chordata; Aves; Passeriformes; Estrildidae.
AAAAGGCAUCGGGGAAGAGAGGGAAGGCUGUGCCAAACAGAUGGCACACCCUGCUGUGUUUUUGAUUGAAAAAGAAAGGUAACAUUUGCAGCCACGUCAAAGAGACAGUGAUCAGCUAAACAAAUUGGUCUCCGAAGUGCAGCAUUGCUGGAGCAAACCCUGCUGCAGGGUACGAGCGAGGUUGUAUUUCACAAUAAUGCCGUGUGCGCGUCGCGGCUCUCCGAAGUGAAGGGAGAUGUCCCCCUUUCAUCUCUCCAAGGCGAGCAAAAAAAGCCUUUGUUGAGAUACACUGCAAUGCACUCUACAAAAGCGGCAGAGAAACCCAGACAAUGAGUGUGGGUUUUUUUUCUCCUCUUUAUUUUUUUCUUUUUCCUCUUGGUCAUCUCCAAAUCAUAUUCAGGGACAGCCCAGCAGGUUUUCCAUUUGGUGUAUCAGGUGUCCAGGUCUCAGAGUGAAUAAAAUUGCAGUGUGGUUUAAGAGAAAUGGGAAGGCAAUGCCAAAUAAUCUGCGAAGGGUGCCAUUGGAGGAGGAGGAGGCUGUGUGUAGCUGGAGAGGCUUACGCCUGCACGCUGCCCGCAGUACAAACAUCAAAUGUGGCAGAGGAAGGGUGCGUGGGGGGCUCCCCGCCCCUCUUUUUUUUUGGGCUCAUCUCAGCUGGCAGCCUUAUUCCGCCUCAGUAAAGACAAGGCCUUUGUGUUUCUCAGCACUGAUGCUAGGGGAGAGGAAAGCACCAAAUCAAUGCAAAAGGAUCCCACUUCUGCAGGGCGGAGCAGAACCUCAGCAGACGCACCUUUUUGCAGCACCUCAAGCUUGCCCAGUGCAAUGGCAUCCCUGAGGAGCAUCCCCCCUCAGCAUCCCACCUCAUCCCUGCCAUCCUCUGGGGCAGCACAGCCUCAACUGCAUUGCACCAAGGACAAGGAGAUUAAAUAUCCACCUGCCCAUGCACCAGAAGGCCAUGGGGUCCCAGUUGUGAUCCCCAAGGCCUCAGCCAGAAGAAUCCUCUGUGAGCCAUUUCUUUCCAAUGUAAAGUGGAGCAGGCUGCCUCUGGCUGGCUGACUGACGGUCGAGGGGCUUUUAAUGAGCAUCUCUCCUCCUGAGCAGCACUUGCUGAAUGAGCCCUCAGAUGGGAGAGAGAGUAACAGUGCUAGGCUAAAUUACCCUGAAUUAUUCUUUGCCUUUCUGCUAUUUAGAAAGGUUCAUAAACCAACAAUGCAUCCAGCAUAUAAAAGACAGAGAAAAAAAAUCGCUGCAUGAACCUAUAUUUUAAAAUAAAUUUCAUUUAUCCCAAUUGACCCUUUUCUGA